UAUUUUGAAAAGUUUGACUACACCCUGCUUCGGAGGUUGCCUACAUAUCCUUGGCUAAAAGGAAUUAGGUCAGUGUAGUUCGAGAAUAUUUGGUAGCUGGGACUGCCAUGAAGCUGUGAUUUCACUGCUGAUAUUGCUGCUACUACUGCUUACUAUAUCCCCUUAUUACACCAUGUCAAAAUAAAAAGAAACUAGUCUGAGCUACGAUCUAUGGAUUAUAAAAGAACCUAUCUAGGUCUUCAAACUUGCUUAUGAUCCUUGCUGCCUUGUUGACUUGUAUUCUUCCCGUGAAACUCCUUUUGCUUACUUGAAUUGUAAUAUGUUAUGUUUUCUUUUCUCCAGGUGGAUGCCUGAUUACUGAAUUCGAUUUGAGUUCCAUAUUCUUCAGGUGGAUUCCUGAUUGCCGAAACUUUGAGUGGUGUUCCCUUUAUUCUCCAUGUGGGGUCCUGACAGCCAAAACUUGAACUAUAUUCCCUUGUUCUUCAGGUGGCCGCUUGAUUGCCGAAACUUGCAUUGAAUUCCCUUGUUCUCAAGGCAGGAACCUAAUUACCGACACUUGAAUUGUAUUCCCUUGUUCUCCAGGUGGGCUCCUAACUAGCAAAACUUGAAUUGUAUUUCCUUGUUCUCCAGGUGAGCUCCUGGCCACCAAAACUUAGAAUUGUACUCCCUUGUUCUCCAGACGCGCUAUUGAUUGCUGAAACUUGAGCUGUAUUCCCAUGUUUUCCAGGUGGGCGCAUGAUUCCCGAAACAUUAAAUUGUAUUAACUUGUUCUCUUUGUAGGCUCCUGAUUAUCGAAACUUUGAAUUAUAUUCCUUCAUUCUUCAAGCAGGCUCCUGACUACCGAAACUUGAAUUGCACUCCCUUGUUCUUGAGGCGGGCACCUGAUUAUCGACACUUGAAUUGUAUUUCCUUGUUCUCCAGAUGGGCUCCUCACUACCAAAACUUGAAUUGUAUUCCCUUGUUCUCCGGGUGGACUCUUGAUUACCAAAACUCAAAUUAUAUUCCCUCGUUCUACAGGUGAGCGCCUGAUUGCCAAAAACUUGAACUAUAUUCCCUCGUAAUUUAGGUGGGCUCCUGAUUGCCAAAACUUGAAUUGUAUUCCAUUGUUCUCUAGGUGGGCUCCUAAUUGCCAAAACUUGAAUUGUAUUCCCUUGCUUUCCAGGUGAGCGCCUGAUUAUCGACACUUGGAUUGUAUUCCCUUGUUAUCGAGGUGAGCUCCUGACUGCCGAAACUUGAAUUGUAUUCCCUUGUUCUCCAGGCGGGCUUCUAAUUACCAAAUCUCGAAUUAUAUUCCUUCGUUCUUCAGGUGGGCGCCUGAUUGCCAAAAACUUGAACUAUAUUCCCUCGUUCUUCUGUUGGGUUUCAGAUUGCCACAACUUGAAUUGUAUUCCCUUGUUCUCCAAGUGGGCGCCUGAUUGCCAAAAAUGAAAUUGUAUUCCCUUGUUCUCUAGGUGGGUGCCUGAUUUUAACGAAAAUAGACAAAACAAAGAAAUUUCCUACUCCAAUUUAAUAGCUGGGUACAUAUGUGAGUGUUAAACUGAAUUAUGUUACCAAAUAUUCUAAGAAUUUGAACACUAGAUCCUAUUAUCUAGGAGGGUCCUCACAACUCUUAGUUAAAUAACACUUUUAAAACCUGAAUUAUAUUUUCUAAAAGUGUGACUUCCACUAAAUCUGGUUAUCUAAGAAAGUAUUAAAGUUGCAUCCCAUUAUCCAAGAAGUUCCUGACAACUCUUAACUAACGACAAUUUUAAACUAAGCUAUAUAUUCUGAAGGUAUAACUUUCACUAACCUUGUUAUAUAAGAAAGCCUUAAAAUACAUCCCAUUAUCCAGGAGGGUCCUGCCAACUCUUAACUAAAGACAAUUUUAAAACUAAGCCCCAUCUUCUAAAGGUAUUACUCCAAUUAACCUAAGAAAGACUUAAAACUACAUCCCAUUAUCCAGGAGGGUCCUGCCAACUCUUAACUAAAGAUAAUUUUAAAACUAAGCUAUAUCUCCUAAAGGUAUUACUUCCGCUAUGUCUAGUUGUCUCAGAAAAUAUUGAGGCUACGUCCCAUUAUACAGGAGGGUCCUGACAACUCUUAGCUAACGACAAUUUUGACUCUAAGCUACAUCUUCUAAAUGUACAGCUUUCACUAUGUCUUGUUAUCUAAACCAACCUUAAAACUAUGUCCCAUUAUCCAGGACGGUCUUGACAACUCCUAGUUGAAUCAUAUGUCAAGCAAACUUUGGAACCAACUUAUCUUCCUGUGGGGUUCAUUUAUGCUAGAUUAGGCUAUUCAUGAUUGUCUCAACAGCGCCAUAUUGCAAUAGAGUAACAAAAAAGUAUAUAGUACUAACGAAAAUGGUCAAAUCAUAACUCAUGAAGCAGGACUAAGCACAAGCAUGACACAAAAAUAUUAAAUAUCAUUUUUACAAAGUGAAAUAUUCUGAAAAUUCAGAUAAGCAAUUCCAUGACACCAUUCAUUGAAUAACAAAUGAAAAGUUGAAAUAGGUUCAAAGUUAAUAGGAUGGAGCAAUAGACACAACACUAAUCAGGAGCAAACAUCAUAUCUCAUUUAUGAACAUCAACAUGAAUGAUCCUAGAUGAAGAACUACAUACCUAUAGAAGCAAAAACCAAAGGGAAACAAAAUGAAACUCUGGCUGAAGCUAGAAAAGAAACAGUAGCAAGAACAAACAACAUAACAAGAAAUCAAACAAAAACCAAAGAAACAACAUGUGACUUGAACUCUUCCAGAAUUAGAAUAAACAAUACCGGGUGAACCAGUAGGGAAACUUUAACAAAAGCUGAUUUUGAGAGAAAGAAAAUGAAAGGAGCUUUUUUCUUUUUCUCUUAUGUGUAUUUAGAGAAGUUUUUAGGUGAAU
Molecule: long non-coding RNA, 2864 nt
Filed under: Nicotiana benthamiana
Lineage: Eukaryota; Viridiplantae; Streptophyta; Magnoliopsida; Solanales; Solanaceae
Description: long non-coding RNA (NBEN_LNC034903)
Source: RNAcentral